This 940-nucleotide ribosomal RNA is filed under the name Cichlidogyrus halli. RNAcentral's name for it is "16S ribosomal RNA". The stretch from base 585 to 940 matches the Rfam family "Bacterial large subunit ribosomal RNA", at positions 2045 to 2710 of the family's 2925-position model. Lineage: Eukaryota; Metazoa; Platyhelminthes; Monogenea; Dactylogyridea; Ancyrocephalidae. The record is from RNAcentral.
AGCAGUUUAAGCUUGACAUAUAUGUAAUUGGUGUUACCUUUUGUAUCAUGAUCUGGGGAUUAUUGUGGAGUAUUCUUUAAGUAGAAAAGUAAUGAUUUUUUUUUGUUAUUAAUCUUGUGAAAAGAUUUUUUUAAAUAAUAAAGGUAGUGAUAAAUUAGUCGGAUUGCUUUAUAACUAGUAGUGGUUUUGAUACUAAUAUUAACUUUUUUAGCGCAGAGGUUAAAAAAGUGACUAUAAGCUGAUUUUAUGCAUUCGAGCGGGGUUUAAAAGUAACCGAGCUUUUAAAGUGUUACAACUUAGUGUUAGAUUAAGGUGCUUUAUGUAAAAAAUCACGCGCAAACUGUUUGUUAAAAAGUAUCCUAGAAUUAGUACAAUAUUAGCUAAAGAAUAUUUUGGGUUAGCUCGRACUGUUUAUUAAAAACAUUUUUGCAAUUAUAGUUUUGCAAUAUAACCUGCUCAGUGUAAUUCAACAGCCGCAGUAUYUUGACUGUGCUAAGGUAGCAUAAUUACUUGUCCCCUAAAUAGGGAAUUGUUUGAAUGGUUUGUGUGGGUUUUACUAGAUUUUUUAGCUUAGGUAGAAUUUAAAGUGUGAGUAAAGAUUCUCACGAUUUAAUAGAAGACGGAAAGACCCCGAGAGCUUAAAAUUUAAUUUGCUUGGGGCGAGAGCCUUUUUUCAAAGGUAGUUAGAACCUAGUAAUAGGGUAUUGGUUAAGUUACCUCGGGGAUAACAGGGUAAGAAGUGAGGAGAGAUCAUAUCGAUUUGCUUAGGUGCCACCUCGAUGUUGACUUAAAGUAACCCCAAAAAGCAGCAUUUUUGUGGGUAGGCCUGUUCGGCCUUUAAAUCUUUUCAUGAGUUGAGUUGAGACCGGUGUAAGCCAGGUCGGUUCCUAUCUAUAUUUUUAUUUCUCUAGUACGAAAGGACUGAGACAUGUUUAGGUUA